This 407-nucleotide ribosomal RNA is filed under the name uncultured prokaryote. Its description in RNAcentral is "bacterial SSU rRNA". It matches the Rfam family "Bacterial small subunit ribosomal RNA", at positions 355 to 776 of the family's 1533-position model. RNAcentral also lists the same sequence under 1 other name. The record is from RNAcentral.
UGGGGGAUAUUGCACAAUGGAGGAAACUCUGAUGCAGCAACGCCGCGUGAGGGAAGAAGGUUUUCGGAUUGUAAACCUCUGUCCUCGGUGAAGAAAAAAAUGACGGUAGCCGAGGAGGAAGCUCCGACUAACUACGUGCCAGCAGUCGCGGUAAUACGUAGGGAGCAAGCGUUGUCCGGAUUUACUGGGUGUAAAGGGUGCGUAGGCGGCAAAUAAAGUCAGGCGUGAAAUGCAGAGGCUUAACCUCUGACCUGCGUUUGAAACUUAUUUGCUUGAGUGAAGUAGAGGCAGGCGGAAUUCCCGGUGUAGCGGUGAAAUGCGUAGAGAUCGGGAGGAACACCAGUGGCGAAGGCGGCCUGCUGGGCUUUAACUGACGCUGAGGCACGAAAGCAUGGGGAGCAAACAGG